GUGUGGCAGGGAAAGAGAGAAGGUUAGCACUCUCCUUUCCAGGGAUGGAAGAGGCUCUCAGUCCUAACAGCAAGCAUGGUUAUGCCAUUGCCAUCUUGUGGCAUGCAGCCAUGAGAGGCU
Erinaceus europaeus (western European hedgehog) is the source of this 120-nucleotide small nuclear RNA. NCBI's taxonomy places the organism in Eukaryota, Metazoa, Chordata, Mammalia, Eulipotyphla, Erinaceidae. The record is from Ensembl.